Molecule: non-coding RNA, 86 nt
Organism: Bombyx mori (domestic silkworm)
Lineage: Eukaryota; Metazoa; Arthropoda; Insecta; Lepidoptera; Bombycidae
Source: Rfam
UUAACGUUUGUAUUUGCAUGGAGUUGAAACGUUUGCCUACGUUUGCCGCUAGGGGCGCUGUUCCAACUGCAUACAAAUUUGAGUUA